GCCUCCGUGGCGCAAUCGGCUAGUGCUUUUCGGCUGCUCACCGAAAGGUUCGUGGUUCGAGCCCACCAGGGGGCG
Trichonephila clavata is the source of this 75-nucleotide non-coding RNA. The record is from the annotation of a GenBank genome assembly. NCBI's taxonomy places the organism in Eukaryota, Metazoa, Arthropoda, Arachnida, Araneae, Nephilidae.